RNAcentral lists this ribosomal RNA (407 nucleotides) under uncultured bacterium. RNAcentral's name for it is "bacterial SSU rRNA". It matches the Rfam family "Bacterial small subunit ribosomal RNA", at positions 509 to 916 of the family's 1533-position model. The record is from RNAcentral.
CAGCAGCCGCGGUAAUACGUAGGGUGCGAGCGUUAAUCGGAAUUACUGGGCGUAAAGCGUGCGCAGGCGGUUCGCUAAGUCUGAUGUGAAAGCCCCGGGCUCAACCUGGGAACUGCAUUGGAAACUGGCGAGCUUGAGUGUGGCAGAGGGGGGUGGAAUUCCACGUGUAGCAGUGAAAUGCGUAGAGAUGUGGAGGAACACCGAUGGCGAAGGCAGCCCCCUGGGCUAACACUGACGCUCANGCACGAAAGCGUGGGGAGCAAACAGGAUUAGAUACCCUGGUAGUCCACGCCCUAAACGAUGUCAACUGGGUGUUGGGGAAGCGAUUCCUCANUACCGUANCUAACNCGUGAAGUUGACCGCCUGGGGAGUACGGCCGCAAGGUUAAAACUUAAAGGAAUUGACGG